CUUUACAAAGCAAGAAGAUACCAGUAGCUUCCAGCUUUGUACUUUCCUUGCUAGAUGACAUAAAUUCACUACCCUAGUACCUUGUUUGUGAUCAUUUGCAAGCCAUAACGCAAAAAUAUUGUUGAUUUGAAAUCACUUCACUCCCCUGCCUCACGUCUCUCUUUGCUGGAACCUGGAACCGUGUGUGUGUGUGUGUGUGUGUGUGUGUGUGUGUGUGAAUGUCAUGGCUCUUAAAGAGACAGCGCACACUUUUAUAAAAGAAGAGAUUACUUCUUCUCCGCAAAUGUUCUCGAUCUGUACAAUUAAAAACAGCGGAAGGGAACGGGUUGUUUUGUCAUCUGUAGCCCCGUGAACUCAGCCAAAACAAGCUCAAUAACUCAACGCACGCACACACUCCUAUUGAAUAUGCAUUCACCUGUAUUGUGAAUAGGCCUAGGCUACAUCUUGAUUGACCCAGUUUAUCAAUAGAUAUUUACCAUUCAAAUAAAUUAUUAUCAUUAUGUAUUAUUAAAAAAUUUUUUUAAAAAAAGUCAAAUUGAUUGUAUAAUUGAUUCAUGGAUGCAUAUAUAAAGAAAACUAAAAUUACAAAUGUAAUGAUCUGUCUGGAUCAAGUGCCACUCUGUGACUUCUGCUUAUACGCCUUAUUUUUUCCCCCGUGGUAUCAUUUUGGUAUCGAGUAUCAUGAUGAUAUCGAGUAUCGUGAUACUAAACCUGGUAUCGAAGUCAAAGUUCUGGUAUCGUGACAACACCACACUGCGGUGUGAACGCAGGGCAGGUCUCACCCUACUGCGGAGGCUGGCUUUAACAUUCCAAUCCAUCUCUCCCUCCAUCUACAGUAUCCCUCCCGCUCUCCAUUAUCAAUUCAUCACAGGCAUCUGUCUGGUAAACACCACGUGACCUCACAGUCAGAUAAAGGACACAUACACACGGUUAACAUCCAUACACACGUUUGGGGGAAAAAAAACGUCACAUUCCCACACACAUUUGUUAGGCUAGAUGUCCCACUGAACAUUCUCCCACCUUUCCAUCAACAACAGGAGAACAGUGCGUGCG
Oncorhynchus tshawytscha (Chinook salmon) is the source of this 1053-nucleotide long non-coding RNA. The record is from Ensembl. NCBI's taxonomy places the organism in Eukaryota, Metazoa, Chordata, Actinopteri, Salmoniformes, Salmonidae.